UAGUCCACGCCGUAAACGAUGUCUACUAGUUGUUGGGACCUUUAUGGACUUAGUGACGCAGCUAACGCAUUAAGUAGACCGCCUGGGGAGUACGGUCGCAAGAUUAAAACUCAAAUGAAUUGACGGGGGCCCGCACAAGCGGUGGAGCAUGUGGUUUAAUUCGACGCAACGCGAAGAACCUUACCAGCCCUUGACAUGGGGAUUCUGGGUUUCAGAGAUGAGACCCUUCAGUUCGGCUGGGUCCCGCACAGGUGCUGCACGGCUGUCGUCAGCUCGUGUCGUGAGAUGUUGGGUUAAGUUCCGCAACGAGCGCAACCCCUAUCUUCAGUUACCAUCAGUUAGGCUGGGGACUCUGGAGAGACUGCCGGUGAUAAGUCGGAGGAAGGCGGGGAUGACGUCAAGUCCUCAUGGCCCUUAUGGGGCUGGGGCUACACACGUGCUACAAUGGCGGUGACAGAGGGGAUGCAAAGGGGGCG
RNAcentral lists this ribosomal RNA (476 nucleotides) under uncultured bacterium. RNAcentral's name for it is "bacterial SSU rRNA". It matches the Rfam family "Bacterial small subunit ribosomal RNA", at positions 791 to 1259 of the family's 1533-position model. The record is from RNAcentral.